AAAAAUCCUGACGGACCAGCAGCUGAUGGUGGUCGCGAAGCAGUUGGGGCGGCAGUGGAAGGAAAUCGCCAUCGAGUGCCUCGAGAUGGAGAUGAAGGACAUCGAGGAGAUCCAGGGCAUGGAGGACGAAGUCAACAUGCAAAAAUUCCUGGUGCUGAGGAAGUGGAGGGACAGACAACAAAGCAAUGGCACUGCAGAAGCUCUGCAGAGGAGUCUGGGUGACAAAGGAUCCUAUGAGCUGGAGCUAAUGCUGCAAGGUUUCUCAGCUCAGUGCUGAGCUGGAAGGACCUGCAGUGGGAGCUGCCCCAUCCAACCAUUCCACUCCUCUGGGAUCUCGCUGGGAUUCAGGAAGGAGGAUGCAAAGCAUCAGCACUCAGAGGAAAGGUUGGGCUGGAUCUUCUCAAGGAAUGUGAAUGAAAUUUUGGAUAUAAGCCACUUCCAAGACUUCCAGGAGCUGUGGAUCCCGAUAUCUCCGGGCUUCACCCGCAGGGAAUGCCACCACUGCCACCUCCUUUGAGCCUCUCCUAAAAGAUGGGAACACUGGAGGAAACCAGGUUGAAUUGUUCGCUCCAGGAUAGCUACCUGGAAAAGAUUUUCAUUUACAUCAGGGAAAAACAGGGAGAAAAGUUACACAGGAACUGUCAUCCCCUCAAAAACCCCUACUGAAGUGCCCGAAGCGGGAGGUACAUUGGAUUUCUCAUGGAUGUCCAAAAUCAGGGAAGGAUAAUCCUAAACUUGCAGACAAAUUCCUUUGCAUAAUCACUGUGUAUAUAUAAUUCCUGUAUAUACUCCUGUACAUUCAGUCCUUGUUAAGCUGUGGUUCUCUUCUCUAAAAACCCCAAAGACUGAUUUCACAGAAGCACCACUAUGUACUCCAGGCAGCUUGGAAUUUUCCCUGGGAAUUUCUUUGCUACUCUUCUCUGUAUAGUCUGUAUUUUUAUGAGACAGGUUUGUUUUUUUUUUACGUUGUAUAAUUUGUUUUUUAUAUGAGAAACUUUUUCUACUUUUUACUUGAUUUGUUUUAACUCGAAUUAGGUGCUUAAACUACCAUGGGAGGAACCAGAAUCCCUGGAAAGGCCCCCCACGUGCUACAGAAUUGGAAAAGAUUUGGGAAUAACGUGAUUUGCAGAAUGAGAGCGGUGACCUGAUCCGGGAUUGUCUGAUUUUUAAGGACAUGGGAUGCUUGGGAUCACCUUCCUCUGAGUGUGUUCAUGAAAGAAAAAAGCAAACUUAAAAAAAAAUAAGGAUUAAAGGGGAACCAUUGACACUAUUUACAUAUGAUUUUGGAUUUAUUUUUUGAUUUUGGCUGCUGGAUGAAGCGUUGUGAGGUUGUUGCCAUCUCUCCAAGCCUUGAUGCUUCUGCUGCUGCAGCAUCUCAUUCCACACCUUCCACUAGCCCAGGUUGCUCCAAGCCCCAUUCAACCCAAUCCAAGAUGGAAACAGGAUUUUAAAAUAUCCCAGUUACCUUUACAUGCCAGCAGUAUUCCAAGUAUUUUAAAAGUAUUCUUGUUGUAUCUCCAGGAACAACAAAGAAGUCACUACGAUUUUUAAGCCAACUUUAAUUUUAUUAGGCAAUAAAUAGAAUAAAUAAGGAAUAUAAUAUAUCA
RNAcentral lists this long non-coding RNA (1607 nucleotides) under Manacus vitellinus (golden-collared manakin). RNAcentral's name for it is "lncRNA (ENSMVIG00005001469.1)". Lineage: Eukaryota; Metazoa; Chordata; Aves; Passeriformes; Pipridae. The record is from RNAcentral.